RNAcentral lists this ribosomal RNA (422 nucleotides) under uncultured bacterium. RNAcentral's name for it is "bacterial SSU rRNA". It matches the Rfam family "Bacterial small subunit ribosomal RNA", at positions 362 to 775 of the family's 1533-position model. The record is from RNAcentral.
UCUUCCGCGAUGGACGAAAGUCUGACGGAGCAACGCCGCGUGAGUGAUGAAGGUUUUCGGAUCGUAAAACUCUGUUGUUAGGGAAGAACAAGUACCGUUCGAAUAGGGCGGCGCCUUGACGGUACCUAACCAGAAAGCACCGGCUAACGACGUGCCAGCAGCCGCGGUAAUACGUAGGUGGCAAGCGUUGUCCGGAAUUGUUGGGAGUAAAGCGCGCGCAGGCGGUUUCUUAAGUCUGAUGUGAAAGCCCCCGGCUCAACCGGGGAGGGUCAUUGGAAACUGGGGAACUUGAGUGCAGAAGAGGAGAGUGGAAUUCCACGUGUAGCGGUGAAAUGCGUAGAGAUGUGGAGGAACACCAGUGGCGAAGGCGACUCUCUGGUCUGUAACUGACGCUGAGGCGCGAAAGCGCGGGGAGCGAACAG